UGUGGGGGCUGCGGGCUUCAUUAGAAGUCGGCUCUCCUUAAAUGCAUUAGUGGAAACCGCUUGCAGGAUUCAUUCACUUCUUGGCGUGAUAGUAUCGUCGUCAAGGGUUGUGUCUCCAAGGUGUCUGCUCUCUAACCGUCCGAAAGGCUCUUAAUGACUUGUUUGACCUCAAAUCAGGUAGGACUACCCGCUGAACUUAA
RNAcentral lists this unclassified non-coding RNA (200 nucleotides) under soil metagenome. RNAcentral's name for it is "partial contains internal transcribed spacer 2 and large subunit ribosomal RNA". The record is from RNAcentral.